CCUUCGGGGGGCAGCAGUGGGGAAUAUUGGGCAAUGGACGCAAGUCUGACCCAGCAACGCCGCGUGAAGGAAGAAGGCUUUCGGGUUGUAAACUUCUUUUAAGGGGGAAGAGCAGAAGACGGUACCCCUUGAAUAAGCCACGGCUAACUACGUGCCAGCAGCCGCGGUAAUACGUAGGGGGCAAGCGUUAUCCGGAUUUACUGGGUGUAAAGGGCGUGUAGGCGGGAAAGCAAGUCAGAUGUGAACACCAUGGGCUCAACCUGUGACCUGCAUUUGAAACUGUUUUUCUAGAGUACUGGAGAGGCAGGCGGAAUUCCUAGUGUAGCGGUGAAAUGCGUAGAUAUUAGGAGGAACACCAGUGGCGAAGGCGGUCUGCUGGACAGCAACUGACGCUGAGGCGCGAAAGCGUGGGGAGCAAACAGGAUUAGAUACCCGUGUAGUC
RNAcentral lists this ribosomal RNA (442 nucleotides) under uncultured bacterium. Its description in RNAcentral is "partial 16S ribosomal RNA". It matches the Rfam family "Bacterial small subunit ribosomal RNA", at positions 338 to 795 of the family's 1533-position model. The record is from RNAcentral.